UACAGAGGAGCCAAGCGUUGUCCGGAUUGACUGGGCGUAAAGCGUGCGCAGGCGGUGAUGUAAGACAGGUGUGAAAUCCCCGGGCUUAACCUGGGAACUGCAUUUGUGACUGCAUCGCUGGAGUGCGGCAGAGGGGGAUGGAAUUCCGCGUGUAGCAGUGAAAUGCGUAGAUAUGCGGAGGAACACCGAUGGCGAAGGCAAUCCCCUGGGCCUGCACUGACGCUCAUGCACGAAAGCGUGGGGAGCAAACAGG
RNAcentral lists this ribosomal RNA (253 nucleotides) under uncultured bacterium. RNAcentral's name for it is "partial 16S ribosomal RNA". It matches the Rfam family "Bacterial small subunit ribosomal RNA", at positions 524 to 776 of the family's 1533-position model. The record is from RNAcentral.